RNAcentral lists this ribosomal RNA (478 nucleotides) under uncultured soil bacterium. Its description in RNAcentral is "bacterial SSU rRNA". It matches the Rfam family "Bacterial small subunit ribosomal RNA", at positions 26 to 503 of the family's 1533-position model. The record is from RNAcentral.
AGAUUGAACGCUGGCGGCAUGCCUAACACAUGCAAGUCGAACGGGAGUAGCAAUACUCUAGUGGCGGACGGGUGAGGAAUACGUAGGAAUUUGCCCUUAAGUGGGGGAUAACCCGGGGAAGCCCGGAUUAAUACCGCAUGACCUCGAAAGGGCAAAGUGGGGGAUCGCAAGACCUCACGCUUUUGGAGAAGCCUACGUCGGAUUAGCUAGUUGGUGAGGUAAUGGCUCACCAAGGCGACGAUCCGUAACUGGUCUGAGAGGAUGAUCAGUCACACCGGAACUGAGACACGGUCCGGACUCCUACGGGAGGCAGCAGUGGGGGAAUAGUUGGACAAUGGGCGCAAGCCUGAUCCAGCAAUGCCGCGUGUGUGAAGAAGGCCUUCGGGUUGUAAGCACUUUAAGGUUAGGAAGAAAAACUCGACUACCUAACACAGUAGAGUCUUGACGGUACCGACAGAAUAAGACACCGGACUAACGU